This 853-nucleotide long non-coding RNA is filed under the name Anas platyrhynchos platyrhynchos (common mallard). RNAcentral's name for it is "lncRNA (ENSAPLG00000025727.1)". The record is from RNAcentral. Lineage: Eukaryota; Metazoa; Chordata; Aves; Anseriformes; Anatidae.
AUGCUGAGUAAAACCUCUGCAAAACCAGCAGAAAUGCCAAGGGACAGCAUGCCUGCCUCUGACGAACACUGUUACCUUCAGCUGCUUCCUAUCUGCCGACUGGGCUUCAGGCAGGGCUUUUCUCUCUCCUCCAGUGACGAUGGCUUCUCCCCUGAUUUCAUUGGUCUGCCUGCAUCUGCGUCCCUUUCCUGUGGAAACUGGAGAUAUGGGCAGGAGAAAAGACAUAUUUGGGUCUAUCCCACUGCAUGCUAUGUUUCAAACAAUCUGGUCCACUGAAGGCAAGGGGAUCUUUCAGCAUUUACAGGGGCGAAAAACACUCAACACAUGUUAGUGGUGAGUAUAGAAUGUAAACUUUUGUGCUUAUAGGAUGUGGUCUGGCUCAUAUAAAACACCAACAUAUAAGAAAGUCACAUGAAAAGCAAAGGUGAGGGACAGGAAGGACCUGUUCUUUUGGUGGCACUCUCAGGUUGUAGCAGCAGGUUGAGAGAAGUGAUUAUUUCCCUCUACAUGUCACUUGUGAGACUGUAGCUGUAGUUCUGGGACCAGUUUUGGGCUCCCUCCAUUGCAGGAAAGACAUGAACUUACUAAAGCAAGUCCACUGUAGGUCCACCAAGCUGGUCAGGGACUGGAUCAAAGAGUGUGCAAGGAGAAACUAAGGGAAACACAUUGUUCAUCCUAAAGAAGAAAGGUUCAGGAGUGUUUGACUGAAGUCUACAACUAGUUAAAAGAUGAAUGGAAAGCAGAUGGAGCCAGAAUCUCUCUGGAUAUGCACAGUGACAAUGAGAGCAACAGUCAGGUUGAAACAAAUAAUCAAAUUUACAACACACAUGAAAAACUGUAGUAUGAAAAGCAC